GAAGUGUUGAGGUGUGUGCCAGUUAAGGAAGAAUUGAAUGAGUGCUCAUCUUUGCUAGCUAGCCUGUGUAUACCCCUUUAGCCUUUGGUUAUUGUGAGAAUUGGCUUUGUCAUCGUGUACAACCCGACAUUGUUUUAGUGUCAUGCUCUAAGCUGUGUGAAUAUUUUCAACAUCCUUUAAAUUAUGAUAAUUUGAUAAAUUGUGAUC
This 207-nucleotide unclassified non-coding RNA is filed under the name Hevea brasiliensis (rubber tree). Lineage: Eukaryota; Viridiplantae; Streptophyta; Magnoliopsida; Malpighiales; Euphorbiaceae. The record is from RNAcentral.